RNAcentral lists this ribosomal RNA (361 nucleotides) under uncultured bacterium. Its description in RNAcentral is "partial 16S ribosomal RNA". It matches the Rfam family "Bacterial small subunit ribosomal RNA", at positions 338 to 710 of the family's 1533-position model. The record is from RNAcentral.
CCUACGGGUGGCUGCAGUCGAGAAUCAUUCACAAUGGGGGAAACCCUGAUGGUGCGACGCCGCGUGGAGGAAUGAAGCUCUUCGGGUUGUAAACCCCUGUCAUGUGGGAGCAAAUUAAAAAGAUAGUACCACAAGAGGAAGAGACGGCUAACUCUGUGCCAGCAGCCGCGGUAAUACAGAGGUCUCAAGCGUUGAUCGGAUUCACUGGGCGUAAAGCGUGCGUAGUCGGGUUCGUAAGUCGGGUGUGAAAGGCGGGGGCUCAACCCGCGGACGGCACAUGAUACUGGGAGACUAGAGUAAAGGUGAGGGAGGCGGAAUUCGCGGUGUAGCAGUGAAAUGCGUAGAUAUCGAGAGGAACACU